GGGGUGUAGCUCAGCUGGGAGAGCAUCUGCCUUGCAAGCAGAGGGUCAGGAGUUCGAUUCUCCUCAUCUCC
This 71-nucleotide transfer RNA is filed under the name Dialister succinatiphilus. It matches the Rfam family "tRNA". From Rfam's summary of the family: Transfer RNA (tRNA) molecules are approximately 80 nucleotides in length. Their secondary structure includes four short double-helical elements and three loops (D, anti-codon, and T loops). Lineage: Bacteria; Bacillati; Bacillota; Negativicutes; Veillonellales; Veillonellaceae. The record is from RNAcentral.